RNAcentral lists this transfer RNA (76 nucleotides) under Chloroflexi bacterium RBG_16_56_11. RNAcentral's name for it is "tRNA-Trp". It matches the Rfam family "tRNA". Rfam says of the family: Transfer RNA (tRNA) molecules are approximately 80 nucleotides in length. Their secondary structure includes four short double-helical elements and three loops (D, anti-codon, and T loops). RNAcentral also lists the same sequence under 1 other name. The record is from RNAcentral. Lineage: Bacteria; Bacillati; Chloroflexota.
AGGAGUGUAGCUCAGCUGGUAGAGCAGCGGUCUCCAAAACCGCCGGUCGCGGGUUCGAGUCCUGCCACUCCUGCCA